Bufo bufo (common toad) is the source of this 167-nucleotide long non-coding RNA. RefSeq lists it as uncharacterized. The record is from RefSeq and is a predicted model, not a curated record. NCBI's taxonomy places the organism in Eukaryota, Metazoa, Chordata, Amphibia, Anura, Bufonidae. The transcript has 3 exons.
UUGUGUGCGAUUAUGACUCUUCUCAGGUGGAUGUGACUCUUUUCAGGGCCUGGUCUCCAGUGAUUGUGAUGCUGGUUCUCAGCAACCACUUACUAUUAGCUCAUGACUGACACACCGCUGACACCAGCAUUUCUGUCACUAUUUUAUGCUGCCCUCAGUGAGGUCAG